This 230-nucleotide non-coding RNA is filed under the name Scrippsiella hangoei. Lineage: Eukaryota; Dinophyceae; Peridiniales; Peridiniaceae. The record is from RNAcentral.
UGGCAUCUGUCAAAACUGUACAAAAGCAUUCACAAUCAACCCGCAUCCAAAACUGCAAAAUGUCAGGUCGAUGUCGCCACGAAAGCUGUGCCAAGAACCACGCCUUCAUGGGAGGGGGCAUGAGGAGAGUGAGCCCCGUGCUGUUGGUGCUCCAAUCAUGAGCGCUCACGGCAUGUCUGUGCUGCUGCCAAGGGCUCGAGCCCGCCACCAAGGCUCCGCGAGAAGCAUCA